GAUGAACGCUGGCGGCGUGCCUAAUACAUGCAAGUAGAACGCUGAAGGAGGAGCUUGCUCUUCUGGAUGAGUUGCGAACGGGUGAGUAACGCGUAGGUAACCUGCCUGGUAGCGGGGGAUAACUAUUGGAAACGAUAGCUAAUACCGCAUGACAACAGUUAUUGCAUGAUAACUGUUUAAAAGGGGCAACUGCUCCACUACCAGAUGGACCUGCGUUGUAUUAGCUAGUUGGUGAGGUAACGGCUCACCAAGGCGACGAUACAUAGCCGACCUGAGAGGGUGAUCGGCCACACUGGGACUGAGACACGGCCCAGACUCCUACGGGAGGCAGCAGUAGGGAAUCUUCGGCAAUGGACGGAAGUCUGACCGAGCAACGCCGCGUGAGGGAAGAAGGUUGUCGGAUCGUAAAGCUCUGUUGUAAGAGAAGAACGAGUGUGAGAGUGGAAAGUUCACACUGUGACGGUAUCUUACCAGAAAGGGACGGCUAACUACGUG
Molecule: ribosomal RNA, 495 nt
Filed under: uncultured bacterium
Lineage: Bacteria
Description: partial 16S ribosomal RNA
Rfam family: Bacterial small subunit ribosomal RNA
Source: RNAcentral